AGGCGAACGCGGUGAACUGAAACAUCUAAGUAACCGCAGGAAAAGAAAUCAACCGAGAUUCCGAAAGUAGCGGCGAGCGAAAUCGGAGGAGCCUAGCGUUUGAUAGCGAAUUCGAUACCGGAACGGUCUGGAAAGUCCGGCUACAGAGGGUGAUAGCCCCGUACGGGAAAUCGAAGUCGUGGUACUAAGGACGCGAAAAGUAGGGCGGGACACGUGACAUCCUGUCUGAAGAUGGGUGGACCAUCAUCCAAGGCUAAAUACUCGUGAUCGACCGAUAGCGAACCAGUACUGUGAAGGAAAGGCGAAAAGAACCCCGGGAGGGGAGUGAAAUAGAUCCUGAAACCGCAUACAUACAAACAGUAGGAGCCUCUUUAUGGGGUGACUGCGUACCUUUUGCAUAAUGGGUCAGCGACUUACGUUUAGCGGCAAGCUUAACCGAUUAGGGGAGGCGCAGCGAAAGCGAGUUCGAACAGAGCGAUUGAGUCGUUAGGCGUAGACCCGAAACCAGAUGAUCUAUCCAUGGCCAGGUUGAAGGUGUGGUAACACACACUGGAGGACCGAACCGACUAGUGUUGCAAAAUUAGCGGAUGAGCUGUGGAUAGGGGUGAAAGGCUAAACAAAUCUGGAGAUAGCUGGUUCUCCCCGAAAACUAUUGAGGUAGUGCCUCGUGUAUGACUCCAGGGGGUAGAGCACUGUUAUGGCUAGGGGGACAUGGCGUCUUACCAAACCAUGGCAAACUCCGAAUACUUGGAAGUUUGAGCACGGGAGACAGAGCACCGGGUGCUAACGUCCGGACUCAAAAGGGAAACAACCCAGACCGCCGGCUAAGGUCCCUAAUAUUGACUAAGUGGAAAACGAAGUGGGAAGGCUAAGACAGUCAGGAAGUUGGCUUAGAAGCAGCCAUCCUUCAAAGAAAGCGUAAUAGCUCACUGAUCGAGUCUUCCUGCGCGGAAGAUGUAACGGGGCUAAGUUCAUAACCGAAGCCGCGGAUUCACACGCAAGUGUGAGUGGUAGGGGAGCGUUCUGUAAGCCUGCGAAGGUGACUCGCAAGGGUUGCUGGAGGUAUCAGAAGUGCGAAUGCUGACAUGAGUAACGUUAAAGCGGGUGAAAAGCCCGCUCGCCGUAAGCCCAAGGUUUCCUGCUCUACGUUCAUCGGAGCAGGGUGAGUCGGCCCCUAAGGCGAGGCUGAGAAGCGUAGCUGAUGGGAACAAGGUUAAUAUUCCUUGACCGCCGUUGAGUGCGAAGGGGGGACGGAGUGUUGAAGAUCAUCCGGGUGUUGGAUGUCCCGGUUUGUGAACGUAGGAGGCCGGCAGGCAAAUCCGCCGGCAUAUCUCCGAGGUGAAGCAUCGAGGUCCGUAUGGACCGAAGUGAUCGGAUGGGCUCCCAGGAAAAGCCUCUAAGCUCCAGCUCAACGGGACCGUACCGCAAACCGACACUGGUGGGCGAGCUGAAUAUGCUCAGGCGCUUGAGAGAACUCAGGAGAAGGAACUCGGCAAAUUGACACCGUAACUUCGGGAUAAGGUGUGCCUUUGUAGCGUGAAGGGAGAAACACCCGGAGCGUGAAGAGGUCUCAGAGAAUCGGUGGCUGCGACUGUUUACUAAAAACACAGCACUCUGCAAAGACGAAAGUCGACGUAUAGGGUGUGAUGCCUGCCCGGUGCUGGAAGAUUAAUUGAUGGGGUGCAAGCUCCUGAUCGAAGUCCCAGUAAACGGCGGCCGUAACUAUAACGGUCCUAAGGUAGCGAAAUUCCUUGUCGGGCAAGUUCCGACCUGCACGAAUGGCAUAACGAUGGCCACACUGUCUCCUCCUGAGACUCAGUGAAGUUGAAGUGUUUGUGAUGAUGCAAUCUCCCCGCGGCUAGACGGAAAGACCCCAUGAACCUUUACUGUAGCUUUGCAUUGGACUUUGAACCGAUCUGUGUAGGAUAGGUGGGAGGCUGUGAAACCGGGACGCCAGUACCGGUGGAGCCGUCCUUGAAAUACCACCCUGAUUUGUUUGAGGUUCUAACCUAGGUCGGUAAUCCCGAUCGGGGACCGUGCAUGGUAGGCAGUUUGACUGGGGCGGUCUCCUCCUAAAGGGUAACGGAGGAGUGCGAAGGUACGCUAGGUACGGUCGGAAAUCGUGCUGAUAGUGCAAUGGCAAAAGCGUGCUUGACUGCGAGACCCACAAGUCGAGCAGAUACGAAAGUAGGUCAUAGUGAUCCGGUGGCUCUGUAUGGAAGGGCCAUCGCUCAACGGAUAAAAGGUACUCUGGGGAUAACAGGCUGAUACCGCCCAAGAGUUCAUAUCGACGGCGGUGUUU
RNAcentral lists this ribosomal RNA (2302 nucleotides) under metagenome. RNAcentral's name for it is "bacterial LSU rRNA". It matches the Rfam family "Bacterial large subunit ribosomal RNA", at positions 177 to 2519 of the family's 2925-position model. The record is from RNAcentral.